AUUUGCUUUUUGGGUAUUUUUUUUGAAGGAUACGAAAGGUUCUCUCUAUACAACGCUACUAAGCCCGUGAACGACGUGUUCAGUCAGUGCUCUCGUAGGGAGUGAAGAGAUAAGAUCAGACUAGAGAGGUGCCUACUGAAGCUGAUUGAUGUGAAAUCGUGAUCUGAUUUUUGUUUCGUUUCGUCAUUUCUAGCAUGUUUUAGUUCUUACCAUUUACAAGCUAAAUGUGUACAUCUUAAUGCUAUAAUAGCAAUUAAUUGGAUUGUGAUCUGCUUUUUAUA
Molecule: long non-coding RNA, 281 nt
Organism: Cornus florida
Lineage: Eukaryota; Viridiplantae; Streptophyta; Magnoliopsida; Cornales; Cornaceae
Exons: 2
Source: RefSeq, a predicted model, not a curated record